CUAAACAAAUCAAGCAUCAAAACCUCUCUCCUAGGGUUUGAUCAGCACACUAUCCUUCAUGAUAUCUUGUGAUUCAACCAUAGAAAAUGCAAAAGAAUGCAUGGGAAAGGUAGAUCACAAGUCAAAAUCAAGAAAUUUUACCUUUGAUUACUUGAUUACUUGAAAUCCACCAAUUUUCUCUUGAAUUUUCACCCUAGGGUUCUUGUUCUUCCUUUUUGUUCCUUUGUUCUUGCUU
This 235-nucleotide long non-coding RNA is filed under the name Theobroma cacao (cacao). Its description in RNAcentral is "long non-coding RNA (TCAC_LNC001820)". The record is from RNAcentral. Lineage: Eukaryota; Viridiplantae; Streptophyta; Magnoliopsida; Malvales; Malvaceae.